Molecule: unclassified non-coding RNA, 280 nt
Filed under: Hevea brasiliensis (rubber tree)
Lineage: Eukaryota; Viridiplantae; Streptophyta; Magnoliopsida; Malpighiales; Euphorbiaceae
Source: RNAcentral
UUGUAGCUGUUGGUUUUUUCUUUGUUCGUAUUCUGCAGCAAGCCGCUUCUGCUCAGCCUCUUCUGUUAUCUUUAGUAAUUUCAACCUUCUUGAUUCCUCCUCGCGUUCCAUUUCCAAAAGUUGCCGUUCCUGCUCUUCCUUCCUUUUCUCAAUUAUAGAUUUACGAGCAAGCAGUCUCUUAUGCUCCUUAUCAACAAUAUCAGCCAAAUCAGGCAAUAUAUCACUUGUUUUUGAUGCCUUCAUAACUGGAGGAUAGAUCAUAGCUCUUGCUUUAUUUAAG